Molecule: ribosomal RNA, 573 nt
Filed under: Rhizonema sp. 'cyanobiont of Erioderma pedicellatum'
Lineage: Bacteria; Bacillati; Cyanobacteriota; Cyanophyceae; Nostocales; Rhizonemataceae
Description: SSU rRNA
Rfam family: Bacterial small subunit ribosomal RNA
Source: RNAcentral
GAAACGGUGGCUAAUACCGGGUGUGCCGAAAGGUGAAAGGUUAACUGCCUGGAGAUGAGCUCGCGUCUGAUUAGCUAGUUGGUAGGGUAAAAGCUUACCAAGGCGACGAUCAGUAGCUGGUCUGAGAGGACGAUCAGCCACACUGGGACUGAGACACGGCCCAGACUCCUACGGGAGGCAGCAGUGGGGAAUUUUCCGCAAUGGGCGAAAGCCUGACGGAGCAAUACCGCGUGAGGGAGGAAGGCUCUUGGGUUGUAAACCUCUUUUCUCAGGGAAGAAAAAUGACGGUACUUGAGGAAUAAGCAUCGGCUAACUCCGUGCCAGCAGCCGCGGUAAUACGGAGGAUGCAAGCGUUAUCCGGAAUGAUUGGGCGUAAAGCGUUCGCAGGUGGCAUUGAAAGUCUGCUGUCAAAGAGUCUGGCUCAACCAGAUACAGGCAGUGGAAACUUCAAAGCUAGAGUGCGGUAGGGGCAGAGGGAAUUCCUGGUGUAGCGGUGAAAUGCGUAGAGUUCAGGAAGAACACCGGUGGCGAAAGCGCUCUGCUAGACCGCAACUGACACUGAGGGACGAAAGC